GACGAACGUUGGCGGCGUGCUUAAUACAUGCAAGUCCACUGAAGCAGUGGUAGCAAUAUCGCUGUGGAGGUGGCGCACGGGUGAGUAACACGUAGGUAAUCUGCCUUCAGGUCUGGCAUAACUCCGGGAAACCGGGGCUAAUAGCAGAUGAUGCAGCGGCUCGACAUCGAGACAGUUGUUAAAGCUAUGGCGCCUGAAGAUGAGCCUGCGUCUGAUUUGCUAGUUGGCGGGGUAACGGCCCACCAAGGCAACGAUCAGUAACUGGUCUGAGAGGAUGAUCAGCCACACUGGAACUGAGACACGGUCCAGACUCCUACGGGAGGCAGCAGUAAGGAAUAUUGCUCAAUGGGAGAAAUCCUGAAGCAGCAACGCCGCGUGAGGGACGAAGGGCUUUUGCUUGUAAACCUCUGUAGUGAGAGAAAAAAAUCCCAAUCUUUGGGACAUGAUGGUAUCUCAAAAGUAAGCCCCGGCUAACUACGUG
Molecule: ribosomal RNA, 481 nt
Filed under: uncultured bacterium
Lineage: Bacteria
Description: partial 16S ribosomal RNA
Rfam family: Bacterial small subunit ribosomal RNA
Source: RNAcentral